RNAcentral lists this long non-coding RNA (255 nucleotides) under Callithrix jacchus (white-tufted-ear marmoset). RNAcentral describes it as "lncRNA (ENSCJAG00000075749.1)". The record is from RNAcentral. Lineage: Eukaryota; Metazoa; Chordata; Mammalia; Primates; Cebidae.
AGUUCAGUGGAACAAUCAUAACUCACUACAAACUCCAACUCCAGGACUCAGGUGAUCUUCCCACUUCCCACCUCAGCCUCUGAGUAGCUGGGAUCACAGAUACAGUGUUUUGCUCUUGUUGUCCCGACUGGAUUGCAAUGGCCCCAUCUCAACUCACAUCAACCUCUGCCUUCUAGGUAAGUGAUUCUUCCACCUAAGCCUGCUGAGUAGCUGGGAUUAUAGGUGUGUGCCACCACGUCCAGGUAAUUUGGUGCA